Molecule: unclassified non-coding RNA, 217 nt
Filed under: plant metagenome
Description: partial contains small subunit ribosomal RNA, internal transcribed spacer 1, and 5.8S ribosomal RNA
Source: RNAcentral
UCUCCGUUGGUGAACCAGCGGAGGGAUCAUCACCGAGUUUACAACUCCCAAACCCCUGUGAACAUACCUAUCGUUGCUUCGGCGGGAUGCCCCUCACGCCUCUGCGUUCCCGGGAGUCAGUCCCCCGCCGGAGGACCAACACUCUUGUUCUGAUAUAGAACUUCUGAUUUGAUUAUUCGAAUAAUUAAAACUUUCAACAACGGAUCUCUUGGCUCUG